UUAGGGACUCGGUAGAGAUGUGGGGGGAUAUUCUGAUGGACGGGGUCGGCACGGUGGGGUUGCAAGAAAGAGAAGGGGGGCCAAGAGGGGACACUAGGUACUGGGGGGACUGCCACAGGAAGGCUGAGCAGAAAGUUCCCGCAGCAGGCUGUCCCUGCUGCUUAUUGGACAGGGUGACGUAAUCUCCAGGAGGAGGCUCUUACUUGGGCCCAGCAUUCUGGUUUAGGUGCAGAAAGGAAGGGCAGGGCGAGGUGGGAAGAUGGAGAGGAAAGGAGGUAGAAUUCAGUGGCGGUGGAAUUGGUUGAUGCUCUAGAAAUGAUCUAAGAAGGCAGGGGCGCAGGCAGGGCUGACUUUGAACUUGUCAAUACCAGCAGCCCUCUUUUUUUCCAGACAAAAAGGGUGCCAGCCCAUCUGGGGCUGAGGCCUGGUCUUGUGGAAACUGGAUUUAGCUUCGCAGGGCAGACAGCUCUGGCCCAGGGUGGUAGGUAAUGUGGACUCAGCCUGGUGGAGCCCAGGUCUGGGUGAGGCAAGGCCUCAGGCGGAGGUGAGGGGGUGGCCUAAGAAGGGAGCGCAGAGGCGAGGAGCUGGCCCCACCCGUGGCUGGUGUGGCACCUGGGGCUGCUGAGGCAGGGUGCUUGUUGAGGGCAUCAUUGACCGACCUUUAUUUUCCAGGUUACAGUGGCCCAUUGGACUUCCCCUAGGCUCUGUGCUAGUCUUCUCUGUGAGCUCACUCUACCCCUCCUCUUCCUCCCCCUAACUUACUGAGGUUGUCCCUUCACUUAAACCUGUCGUCUGGUGGUAAGCCUGGGGAAGUCGCUGGAGCUGGUGUUGGACUCGAUAUCUUUGCGGUCAUCAUGGCGAGCAGAUGGCACCAGGAGAAAUGGAGCCCCUGCCAGUGUGUGAGUCGUAGCAGUACAGGAGGGGAGACCUUGAAGGAAACAGCCCGAUUAAAUUGAAGCCUGCAGAUUGAAUUCCGGAGGCUUAGGAGUUCUCCAGUGCCAUGGGUCCAGGCCUUGCUCGGGAAGCCCUGUAUUCAGGAGGUCGCCACUAAAGUUUUCAGAUGAGUUUAUGAGGGGAAUCCAGAAAUCCAGAGCAGAUGCAUCCGGCUUGCAUGAUCAAUAGCUUUGAUGUCUGUUCCGGGAGCACCAUCCUCUGGGCACGAGAAUACCAGCAGGCGCCCCUGUUUUCCUGGGGAUAGAGGUGUUCAGAUGCUGCAACUACUAAACUGAGCCUCAGAUCAUUCUAGUUUGGUGCUACGAACCUUGCUUCAAGAAGAUUGUUAAGCCGUAGGACAUUUUAACGAUACUACAACGCAGUGAUGCCUUGUAGAUGGCGCUUGCCAGAUGGAGCCCAGUGACCUCUCACCUACCUGCCCCCUUGCCCAUGCGUUGGCCAGAGGAGUCGUUAGUGUGAUGAUGAAACUCUUGGGUGUGGGGAAACUGUUCAGUUUUAAAUCUUUUACGUAGAGGGAAUAUGUAAGAGGCGGCAAGUUGGGUGGGGCGGGGCUUACCUGUUGUGCGGAAAUCUGGGAGGGUACAAGCUGAUCAUGCCAAGUUUUGGGCGAAGGAAGUGGUAUCUGGUUUGGGCAUUCUGGUGGCAUCGCAGAUUGCUGAAAAGGGGAUGAAUGGUGCGUGUACUGUGUGUGCUGGUGAUGGCCCUUAACGGGUGCAUACCAAGCCAGUGUCCACUACUGGUAGCUGUGCCCCCAGUCCAGAUCUUUGAUCCUUCUUCCUCUAUUUACUUAAACUUGAUUUUUACUUGACUAGAAUUCGGAAAACCUGGGGUUCUAACUGGGAAGGUUCCUGAGGGUGGGGGGUGGGAGUUGGGAUGGAUGGAGAGGGCAAGGGAGGAUGUGGGGGACGCAGCACAGAGGAUGAGGUUGGGAGUGUGGGUGGAAGAGGAUUUACUCAAAUUUAUGAGUGAAGAAAAUACUAAUGAUAAAUUGAUAAUGCUGGUUAAAUUGUUGCGUAGAAACAGUAAAAAUAGCUUGGAAACUAUAAAAAAUGCUUGGAACUUGAAGAGAAGGAAAAAAGCAAAAUUGUUUUGCUUUGCUGAAAAGUGUAAAGAAUUGAAAAAGGUUACUUUAAAUCCUGAAUAGUCGCUUGGAAAAUGAUCACAAACUUACUGUUAAAGGGAGGUUAUCUGAAGGUGUGGGUUUUUUUUUUUUUCUUCAGGAUUAAAAAGUCUUAGGCUUCUAAAUUGUGGGCUUUUAAAGCUUAAGUGAGCCCUUGAGAAUAAAUGGGUUCUUGUGGGCUCUUGGUUCACGUUUAGUCACUGAGGUCAUUUGUGAUUAAAAAUUCUAACCAUACUACAAAUGUGAUGCCUUCUGAAGCAAUUCCGUGUAUAUAAGUUGUGUUGUAAAAUAUUGAAUCUUCCUAUGGUGGGUCAGUAAUCACAACAGCAAAAUUUGUGCUUGCUUGUUUUAUCUUGUCCAGUCAUAGUCUUUGUGACAAGAACCAGACUAACCUGUGGUGGUCACUGAAAUUACUUUGGUACAAAGUAGCAGCCAAUCCAGAUACCUUGAUUAGGGUCACGGUGAAUAAUGCAUUUACGGUGAAUAAUGCAUUGCAUCUUUAGUUUUGAAUGUUUGUGCUAUUUAAAUCAUCCAGGACUAGAGUGAAAACUAUUACAAUCAUUUGAGGGGAAAAUAGCAAAACUGGAGAGAAGCAGACACCGUACUGGAUAAAAUUAGUAAAAGUUUAGAGACUGAAAAACCAUACUUGUUUUUGAGCUGUCUCUGUCAAGUUGGUGAAGUAGUAUCAAUGGCUUUUUAAUGUAUUCCUCUUUAAUUUCACUUUAAAAUAUUUAAAUCCUUAAUGCAUUCAUCCUUGAGAUUUUUCUGUUUGGGUUAUUUAAAUGCUAAUAUGUUGAUGUGUUCCUAACCAGUGAUUGGGUCACUGUCACUAGAACUUGAAGUGUAUUAGUCAUGCUUGUAUGGGGAAAUAUUUCUGGGUAUUAACUUAAAAGUGCACUACUCAUGCUUGUAUGGGGAAAUGUUUUUGGGUGUACUGUUGUGAAAUGCGGGCUGUAAAAGCACAUGGUUAAAAGCGCUUGUUUAUUGCUCUUGUAAGGUAAGAACUCUUGUUGCAUCAUGUAUGUAAUUACUAAUGUCUUUUCUUCCCUUUUACAGCACAAAUAAAGGUUUGCAUUCUAAGCUCCUUAAAA
Cavia porcellus (domestic guinea pig) is the source of this 3165-nucleotide long non-coding RNA. RefSeq lists it as uncharacterized. Lineage: Eukaryota; Metazoa; Chordata; Mammalia; Rodentia; Caviidae. The transcript has 2 exons. The record is from RefSeq and is a predicted model, not a curated record.